GGACGGGUGAGUAAUGUCUGGGAAACUGCCUGAUGGAGGGGGAUAACUACUGGAAACGGUAGCUAAUACCGCAUAACGUCGCAAGACCAAAGAGGGGGACCUUCGGGCCUCUUGCCAUCGGAUGUGCCCAGAUGGGAUUAGCUAGUAGGUGGGGUAACGGCUCACCUAGGCGACGAUCCCUAGCUGGUCUGAGAGGAUGACCAGCCACACUGGAACUGAGACACGGUCCAGACUCCUACGGGAGGCAGCAGUGGGGAAUAUUGCACAAUGGGCGCAAGCCUGAUGCAGCCAUGCCGCGUGUAUGAAGAAGGCCUUCGGGUUGUAAAGUACUUUCAGCGGGGAGGAAGGGAGUAAAGUUAAUACCUUUGCUCAUUGACGUUACCCGCAGAAGAAGCACCGGCUAACUCCGUGCCAGCAGCCGCGGUAAUACGGAGGGUGCAAGCGUUAAUCGGAAUUACUGGGCGUAAAGCGCACGCAGGC
Molecule: ribosomal RNA, 480 nt
Filed under: Shigella flexneri
Lineage: Bacteria; Pseudomonadati; Pseudomonadota; Gammaproteobacteria; Enterobacterales; Enterobacteriaceae
Description: bacterial SSU rRNA
Rfam family: Bacterial small subunit ribosomal RNA
Source: RNAcentral